Long non-coding RNA from Dermacentor andersoni, 1941 nucleotides. RefSeq lists it as uncharacterized. The record is from RefSeq and is a predicted model, not a curated record. Lineage: Eukaryota; Metazoa; Arthropoda; Arachnida; Ixodida; Ixodidae.
CGGAAAUGAGCCGAAAAAGGCAUUUUAAGGGAUGUGACCUCCCUUGAGACUACGUGCCUGAAAACCGUGCUCCCUUAGAGUGGUGUAGAAAUGCUCAGCGUCCUCCAUUUCUCUCCCUCGCAAAAUGCGGAUGAAAGAAGGAGACAGAACCUCAAUUCUACAUCCUUUUUAAGAGGGAGUUUAGAAGAUACAGGCCUCCCUUUAGCGUAAACGGAGUUCUGUUUCUUAUUUUAUGCGUUAUUUUCUUUUCUUUUACACAUCUGUGAGAAGGAAACUAGAAAGGAGAGAUAUAUUGUCCAAGUGGUUCUUCUUCUUUUUUUUUCUUUCUGCAAAUUUAUACAUUUCCGGAGUGCAAGCCAACUUAUUUAGGGCGAUAUAAUAGACGCUUUGUUCGUCUCGUCGACCACAAUGUCCUGUCGCGCUGCCAGAACCCCCGGUCGGCAUCUGACGAGCUGUCUUCGGAAGCGAGACCAUGCAAAACUUCGACGGCUUAGGCCGCAGAAUGUCCUCGCUUCUGUUCGUCUUCCCAUCAACUAAAAGUGAAACUGAAGGCAAAGCUCGCAAAGCGCCACUGUCGUCGGCGCCGGUGACGGCACCUGUUUUGCUCAUCGUAGUUCUGCGUGUGUGUCUAUAUGCGUGCUUACGAGGUAAUUUUGGCGGCCGUCGGAGAGUGUUUCGUGUAGUGUGGAACCUCACAAGAAAGCUACCUGCCCCACUGCGCAGCACGGCGGUGAUCGGCCACUGCGUAGUCAUCGCUUUGACGUGAUCUGUGUACUACAAUACACUUUCGUGGUUCGCGCGGCCGUGCUCGGGUAUUCCCUCCUGCGCCACGAUAUGACAGCGGCUAGAUAAACCUCACCCACAGUCCUCACAAAAUCGGACCGCGUACGGUGUCGACUGCUUUUGGAAACGGCGCGUUUCGGAUUACCGCUUGCCCAGUUGCCUCAUGUUUGACGCGGCCUUUUCAAGCUGCCGUGACUGUUCCUGUCAUACCAAAGCCAAGGCUCACUGGCCCCUCAUGGUAUUGAAGCUUGCUCACCAAUUACUCAGAGUGGAUGAUACAUUUUCUGGAUUUUGUCAGGUGCCAUCUGUCUUGCCCUAAUCAUGGUAUGAAAGGUCACAGCAAAUUUAAUAACAAGCUGCUCAAGAAUGUGUCCCAGCUAGUGUCGCAACAUACCCCCUGGGUUCAUUCUUAAGACUGGUGAGUGGCUAAAGUCAUCCCAUUCUACAAAUCCAGCGAGUGUUUAUCACCCUUUAACUACCAAUGAAUAUUAUUAACCAGUACAAUUCGCAAACUUAUGGAACACAUUAUUAAUUCACAAGUCAUCGACUAUUUCGAAGAUCCCAGUUUAACAUUCAACUACCAGCACAGGUUUUCAUUUACAUUACGACUUAGCAUGAAACCACCACAUUUACUCCAUCUUUGCAGCAGCUCACCACUCUCUUGGCAUCAUCAAAUUAAACCUAAAGCAUGCUUUUGUCAACAUACAUAAACUUGCUUACACUACACUAAUCCACACAAAGCUCGAAUACGCAUCGCUAAUAUAGCACUCUGGCAGGUAAACAUUGUUGACGAGAUUGCAUUUGUUCAAAACUGGGCUGCUCACCUUCAUAUUUUCCGACUAUUCAUCUUACACUUCCGUGUCAUCAUUAAAAGCACGUACUGAUUUAAAAGCACUAUCCCUUCGCCACAAAUCAGUGCGUCUUUGCCUGCUUGACAAACUUUAUAAUCGUACUUCUCUUCACAAUGAUUUCUUUCAGUCACCACCUGUCGUAUUUUCAUGCCGGGAUCACCACCUCAUAUUUAAGCGUACACCAUCUCGCAUGUUACAAUAUGCAUGCUCCUUUAUACCCUGCACCAUCACUGAAGGGAACUGCUUUCCCUCUGAUAUUGCCACAGAAUCUGACAUUAAAAUUUUACGACGUGCUACGCACUGUUAA